Non-coding RNA from Paramuricea clavata, 322 nucleotides. The record is from the annotation of a GenBank genome assembly. NCBI's taxonomy places the organism in Eukaryota, Metazoa, Cnidaria, Anthozoa, Malacalcyonacea, Plexauridae.
UUCAAUUUAUUCCCCUUGCCAGGCAAUUAGAUGACUUUUGUUAGCAUGUGUUGUUCACUUGUUCCAAUGUCAACAUUCAUUCCAGUCUGAAUUCAUACUGGUCUGAGAGUCAGUCGGCUUGGUCCAGCAGGCGGAAUGACUUGAGACCUCAUGUAAACAUCUAUUAUAUAUAAUAUAAUGACCAAAACGAAAUGGUCCCGGUUAAUUGACUUCGUUCCAGUCUCACGUGAACUGGACCUAAUAAAAUCCUUCAAAAGUUGGCUAAAUUUUUCCAAAACUUCAGUCAAUAUAGUUUUGUAGUACACCAAUCCCAAGAUCUGUC